Long non-coding RNA from Vombatus ursinus (common wombat), 378 nucleotides. RefSeq lists it as uncharacterized. The transcript is spliced from 4 exons. Lineage: Eukaryota; Metazoa; Chordata; Mammalia; Diprotodontia; Vombatidae. The record is from RefSeq and is a predicted model, not a curated record.
GGAAGACUUAGUCAGUUCCAGAUCCUCUUCUGGGGAAGAAAGCAGACUUUGGAAGGCAGCUAUUUCAUAUCACUCAGCUUCAACAGCCCCAGCCAUCCUUCAUCUGAACAAUUUUAAAAUCUCCUUUGCUGGAAUUCUCCAACACCAUCAAAGACCCAUCUCCAUUCCAGACCACAUUUGGUGAAUUGUGUUCAGCCAUGGGCAUUGACUUUUAAGAAGGAUACUAAUGAGCUGAAGAAUAUCCAGAGGAAGGUGACCAAGAUGGCUUUGAAAUCAUUCAAUGUGAGGACUGGCUUAAGGAACUAAAGAUUUUUAGCCUGGAGAAGAGAAGACUUAGGAAAGAGAGUUCUGGAAGAGGACCAAUGACAUCAGGAGGGU